Molecule: ribosomal RNA, 630 nt
Filed under: Triticum aestivum (bread wheat)
Lineage: Eukaryota; Viridiplantae; Streptophyta; Magnoliopsida; Poales; Poaceae
Description: partial small subunit ribosomal RNA
Source: RNAcentral
AAGGCGGCGUAGGGUUCAGCGGCAGGAGGGCUAGGGGGAGGGGAGGGGAAGGGAAGGAGACGAGACCUGUGGGGUAGAGGCAGCUCGGCCCGCGGGGUAGGUGGAGAUGCACGCCGCCGCCGCAUCGUUCCAGUCACUCUUUACCGCGGCGGGCCCAGCGCGGCCACCCGCAUGCACGCCUAGUACCGGCCGUGGUAGGAGCCGCCGCCGGAGCCGAAGAUGCAGUACGUGGCGUAGCUCUGGAGGAUGUUCCACUCCUACCUCCUCUCCGACGCCUCCAUGCUCCGCGUGAACGAGCGGUUCCUCUUCCUCCGCGUCGUCGAGGUCCUGCUCCCCGCGGCGCUCCUGGUCCGCGUCCAGAACGGCCUGAGCACUAAAGGAGAGUAGGACAACAAGGCCGAGCGGAAGGGCUCGACAAUCUUGUAUUAGAUCGCCGAGUUUCGAAGAACUCUCCACACGGAGAACGCAGAUACCAGCAAAACACUUGUAAAAAUAUAAUCGAAUGCAUCCCUCAUGAAGUUUUGACACUACAGACACUACUGUCGUCUCUGAAGUUUUGACUCUAACAAAACGAAUAAUAACUGUCCAUGAACAUUUGUUUUUUUUAACUUAGGUAUGUAACAUGUCUAA